Molecule: ribosomal RNA, 430 nt
Filed under: bacterium
Lineage: Bacteria
Description: partial 16S ribosomal RNA
Rfam family: Bacterial small subunit ribosomal RNA
Source: RNAcentral
UGGGGAAUAUUGGACAAUGGGCGCAAGCCUGAUCCAGCCAUGCCGCGUGUGUGAAGAAGGCCUUUUGGUUGUAAAGCACUUUAAGCGAGGAGGAGGCUACUUGGAUUAAUACUCUAGGAUAGUGGACGUUACUCGCAGAAUAAGCACCGGCUAACUCUGUGCCAGCAGCCGCGGUAAUACAGAGGGUGCGAGCGUUAAUCGGAUUUACUGGGCGUAAAGCGUGCGUAGGCGGCUUCUUAAGUCGGAUGUGAAAUCCCUGAGCUUAACUUAGGAAUUGCAUUCGAUACUGGGAAGCUAGAGUAUGGGAGAGGAUGGUAGAAUUCCAGGUGUAGCUGUGAAAUGCGUAGAGAUCUGGAGGAAUACCGAUGGCGAAGGCAGCCAUCUGGCCUAAUACUGACGCUGAGGUACGAAAGCAUGGGGAGCAAACAGG